Molecule: long non-coding RNA, 690 nt
Filed under: Pan troglodytes (chimpanzee)
Lineage: Eukaryota; Metazoa; Chordata; Mammalia; Primates; Hominidae
Description: long non-coding RNA NONPTRT005089
Source: RNAcentral
CCACCCCUCCGCUCGCCCCGCCCCGCUGGCUCCGCCGCCGCUACAGAUGCGGCGCGGCGCGCAGCUACAGAGACCCGGAUGUCGUUGGGCAGGAAAUGCGGUGAGGGCUGGUGGGCGGGGGAGGGGCCGCCACAGAUGACGUCACUGCCUUACCCAGCUUCUUUUUUUGCCGCUGCUGCUGCCGCCGCCGUUCCCUUACGGCCUGGAGCACCAGGCCGAAGCCGAAGGGAGCGUCCGGAUCCCGGAUAGCAGCCAGGACCCGGGCCUUCACGUGCCGGCGCCAGGGACUGGACAGAAUGUGCGGCUAUUAGGUGCCCAGUAGAUCGACAGCCCCUCCGUGCCCGGCCCUUGGCCAAGUAGGGACUCGGAAGCUACCCCUACGGCGUCCGCGCCCCGAGCCCUGGCUCUUCUACCUGCCUGCAGAUACAAACCCCACUCCCUGCGAAGAUGGUGUACACGCAGCCCCGAGCACAGACCCGAAGCUGUCCACCCUUCUUGGGCGCCGUCGCGGUCUGGCCGCUGCCCUUCGAACCCAUGUUCAGACAGGGUUUCACCGUGUUGGCCAGGAUGGUCUCAAUUUCCUGACCUCGUGAUCCACCCGCCUCGGCCUCCCAAAGUGCUGGGAUUACAGUCGUGAGCCACUGUUCCCGGCCAGAAUUUCUUAGAAGAAGAUGAACAUGGAUCAUUUCC